CGGUCGGCAGUUCACCCAGGCGUCGCCGCCCCGAAAGGGGUGCUAAACCUGCCG
Non-coding RNA from Desulfovibrio sp. TomC, 54 nucleotides. Lineage: Bacteria; Pseudomonadati; Thermodesulfobacteriota; Desulfovibrionia; Desulfovibrionales; Desulfovibrionaceae. The record is from Rfam.